AAGUCGUAACAAGGUUUCCGUAGGUGAACCUGCGGAAGGAUCAUUAACACUUUUUUGUUCUGUUCCAUUUGAGUGCAGAGUCGUUUAUUCGAUUCGCCUCGAUUGGAGCGAACUCAUCAUCCAAAUACCCAAACUGAAUUGCUUGUGGAGAAUUCUUUUCUCCCAUUUUUUUCCAAUUACAAAAAACCCCAAUCUAAUUGCUAAUGCUAUGACAAAAACAAAACAAAAAACUACUUUAACGUAACCAAACAACUCUUAGCAACGGAUAUCUUGGCUCUC
RNAcentral lists this unclassified non-coding RNA (279 nucleotides) under fungal sp. Its description in RNAcentral is "partial internal transcribed spacer region". The stretch from base 1 to 46 matches the Rfam family "Eukaryotic small subunit ribosomal RNA", at positions 1786 to 1831 of the family's 1831-position model. The record is from RNAcentral. Lineage: Eukaryota; Fungi.